This 30-nucleotide non-coding RNA is filed under the name Rattus norvegicus (Norway rat). Lineage: Eukaryota; Metazoa; Chordata; Mammalia; Rodentia; Muridae. The record is from RNAcentral.
UGAUGAUUCAGACUCCCUCCUACUCCUUUU